CGUUGACUAUUCUCUACAAACCACAAAGACAUUGGAACACUAUACCUAUUAUUCGGCGCAUGAGCUGGAGUCCUAGGCACAGCUCUAAGCCUCCUUAUUCGAGCCGAACUGGGCCAGCCAGGCAACCUUCUAGGUAACGACCACAUCUACAACGUUAUCGUCACAGCCCAUGCAUUUGUAAUAAUCUUCUUCAUAGUAAUACCCAUCAUAAUCGGAGGCUUUGGCAACUGACUAGUUCCCCUAAUAAUCGGUGCCCCCGAUAUGGCGUUUCCCCGCAUAAACAACAUAAGCUUCUGACUCUUACCCCCCUCUCUCCUACUCCUGCUUGCAUCUGCUAUAGUGGAGGCCGGCGCAGGAACAGGUUGAACAGUCUACCCUCCCUUGGCAGGGAACUACUCCCACCCUGGAGCCUCCGUAGACCUAACCAUCUUCUCCUUACACCUAGCAGGUAUCUCCUCUAUCUUAGGAGCCAUCAAUUUCAUCACAACAAUUUUCUCCUAUCUCUCCCAGUCCUAGCCGCUGGCAUCACUAUACUACUAACAGACCGUAACCUCAACACCACCUUCUUCGACCCAGCCGGAGGAGGAGACCCCAUUCUAUACCAACACCUAUUCUGAUUUUUCGGUCACCCUGAAGUUUAUAUUCUCAUCCUACCAGGCUUCGGAAUAAUCUCCCAUAUUGUAACUUACUACUCCG
RNAcentral lists this long non-coding RNA (696 nucleotides) under Homo sapiens (human). RNAcentral describes it as "HSALNT0000081". The record is from RNAcentral. Lineage: Eukaryota; Metazoa; Chordata; Mammalia; Primates; Hominidae.